Molecule: ribosomal RNA, 459 nt
Filed under: uncultured bacterium
Lineage: Bacteria
Description: partial 16S ribosomal RNA
Rfam family: Bacterial small subunit ribosomal RNA
Source: RNAcentral
CCUACGGGUGGCAGCAGUGAGGAAUAUUGGUCAAUGGCCGGGAGGCUGAACCAGCCAAGUCGCGUGAGGGAAGAGGGCCCUACGGGUUGUAAACCUCUUUUGUCAGGGAGCAAGGUGCAGGUGGGGACCUGGUGGGAGAGUACCUGAAGAAAAAGAAUCGGACAACUCCGGGCCAGCAGCCGCGGUAAUACGGAGGAUGCGAGCGCUAACCGGAUUUAUUGGGUUUAAAGGGUGCGCAGGCGGAGGCACAAGUCAGCGGUAAAAUGGCGGGGCUCAACCCCGAUACGCCGUUGAAACUGUGUCCCUUGAGUGCGCGAAGGGUAGGCGGAAUGCGUGGUGUAGCGGUGAAAUGCAUAGAUAUCACGCAGAACUUCGAUCGCGAAGGCAGCCUACCGGCGCGCAACUGACGCUCAUGCACGAAAGCGUGGGUAUCGAACAGGAUUAGAUACCCCUGUAGUC